RNAcentral lists this ribosomal RNA (867 nucleotides) under uncultured Gemmatimonadota bacterium. RNAcentral describes it as "bacterial SSU rRNA". It matches the Rfam family "Bacterial small subunit ribosomal RNA", at positions 1 to 869 of the family's 1533-position model. Lineage: Bacteria; Pseudomonadati; Gemmatimonadota. The record is from RNAcentral.
CCGCGGGAUUAGAGUUUGAUCCUGGCUCAGGACGAACGCUGGCGGCGUGCAUAACACAUGCAAGUCACGGGGGUCAGUAGCAAUACUGAUAACCGGCGAACGGGUGCGUAACACGUAAGCGACCUACCUCGAUGUGGGGCAUAGCCGGCCUAACGGCCGGGUAAUUCCGCAUGUGAUCCUUGAGGGGCAUAUCUCGGGGAUGAAACCAGUAAUGGGCAUUGAGAGGGGCUUGCGGCCUAUCAGCUUGUUGGCGGGGUAACGGCUCACCAAGGCGACGACGGGUAGCUGGUCUGAGAGGAUGGCCAGCCACAUUGGGACUGAGAAACGGCCCAGACUCCUACGGGAGGCAGCAGUGGGGAAUCUUGCGCAAUGGCCUAACGGCUGACGCAGCGACGCCGCGUGAGGGAUGAAGCUCCUCGGAGUGUAAACCUCUGUUGCCCGGGACGAAUAGCGGAUUUUUCCGACUUGACGGUACCGGGUGAGGAAGCACCGGCUAACUCCGUGCCAGCAGCCGCGGUAAUACGGUGGGUGCGAGCGUUGUCCGGAAUCACUGGGCGUAAAGGGCGCGUAGGUGGCUCUGUAAGUUUGCGGUGAAAGCCCGGGGCUCAACCCCGGGUCUGCCGUGAAUACUGCAAGGCUUGAGUAGUGUAGAGGCAGGUAGAAUAUCGGGUGUAGCGGCGGAAUGCGUAGAGAUCCGAUAGAAGACCGGUGGCGAAGGCGGCCUGCUGGGCACUAACUGACACUGAGGCGCGACAGCGUGGGGAGCAAACAGGAUUAGAUACCCUGGUAGUCCACGCCGUAAACGAUGGGUACUAGGUGCUUCGGGGAGCGACCCCUGGAGUGCCGGCGCUAACGCAGGAAGUACCC